AAAGUGGUUAGCUAGGUAUAAGGGUAACAUUGAUACUGAAGACGAUGUAACUACUGGACUAGUGGCCUUGAGGCUUGGGAUGGCCGCAUGGAAGGAAAGAAAGUGGAAAGCAGAGAAGUUAAUUGGGGAUUCAGACAAUUUUAUGCUUGUCCAAAAUGCUAAUGGUCUCCCUGAGCCAAAUGAAAACACUAAGUACAUGUUGAGGG
This 206-nucleotide long non-coding RNA is filed under the name Capsicum annuum. RNAcentral describes it as "long non-coding RNA (CANN_LNC019500)". Lineage: Eukaryota; Viridiplantae; Streptophyta; Magnoliopsida; Solanales; Solanaceae. The record is from RNAcentral.